This 470-nucleotide ribosomal RNA is filed under the name uncultured soil bacterium. RNAcentral's name for it is "bacterial SSU rRNA". It matches the Rfam family "Bacterial small subunit ribosomal RNA", at positions 26 to 518 of the family's 1533-position model. The record is from RNAcentral.
AGGACGAACGCUGGCGGCGUGCUUAACACAUGCAAGUCGAGCGGUAAGGCCUUUCGGGGUACACGAGCGGCGAACGGGUGAGUAACACGUGGGUGAUCUGCCCUGCACUUCGGGAUAAGCCUGGGAAACUGGGUCUAAUACCGGAUAUGACCUCCUAUCGCAUGGUGGGUGGUGGAAAGAUUUAUCGGUGCAGGAUGGGCCCGCGGCCUAUCAGCUUGUUGGUGGGGUAAUGGCCUACCAAGGCGACGACGGGUAGCCGACCUGAGAGGGUGACCGGCCACGCUGGGACUGAGACACGGCCCAGACUCCUACGGGAGGCAGCAGUGGGGAAUAUUGGACAAUGGGCGAAAGCCUGAUCCAGCAAUGCCGCGUGAGUGAUGAAGGCCUUAGGGUUGUAAAGUCUCUUUUACCCGGAUGAUAAUGACAGUACCGGAGAAUAAGCUCCGGCUAACUCCGUAGCCAGCAGCCGC